UACAGAGGUCCCGAGCGUUGUUCGGAUUCACUGGGCGUAAAGGGUGCGUAGGCGGCUUGAAAAGUUUGAUGUGAAAGCUCAGGGCUUAACCCUGAAAUGGCAUUGAAUACUGUCGAGCUGGAGGUUUGGAGGGGGGACUGGAAUUCUUGGUGUAGCAGUGAAAUGCGUAGAUAUCAAGAGGAACACCAGUGGCGAAGGCGAGUCCCUGGACAACACCUGACACUGAGGCACGAAAGCUAGGGGAGCAAACAGG
Molecule: ribosomal RNA, 253 nt
Filed under: uncultured bacterium
Lineage: Bacteria
Description: partial 16S ribosomal RNA
Rfam family: Bacterial small subunit ribosomal RNA
Source: RNAcentral